UACGUAGGGUGCGAGCGUUGUCCGGAAUUAUUGGGCGUAAAGAGCUCGUAGGCGGUGUGUCGCGUCGGCCGUGAAAAUCCGAGGCUCAACCUCGGACUUGCGGUGGGUACGGGCAGACUAGAGUGUGGUAGGGGAGACUGGAAUUCCUGGUGUAGCGGUGAAAUGCGCAGAUAUCAGGAGGAACACCGAUGGCGAAGGCGGCAUCCUGGACCAACACUGACGCUGAGGAGCGAAAGCCAGGGGAGCAAACGGG
This 253-nucleotide ribosomal RNA is filed under the name uncultured bacterium. RNAcentral describes it as "partial 16S ribosomal RNA". It matches the Rfam family "Bacterial small subunit ribosomal RNA", at positions 524 to 776 of the family's 1533-position model. The record is from RNAcentral.